RNAcentral lists this ribosomal RNA (497 nucleotides) under uncultured bacterium. RNAcentral describes it as "partial 16S ribosomal RNA". It matches the Rfam family "Bacterial small subunit ribosomal RNA", at positions 28 to 507 of the family's 1533-position model. The record is from RNAcentral.
GAUGAACGCUGGCGGCGUGCCUAAUACAUGCAAGUCGAGCGAACAGACGAGGAGCUUGCUCCUCUGACGUUAGCGGCGGACGGGUGAGUAACACGUGGAUAACCUACCUAUAAGACUGGGAUAACUUCGGGAAACCGGAGCUAAUACCGGAUAAUAUAUUGAACCGCAUGGUUCAAUAGUGAAAGACGGUUUUGCUGUCACUUAUAGAUGGAUCCGCGCCGCAUUAGCUAGUUGGUUAGGUAACGGCUUACCAAGGCGACGAUGCGUAGCCGACCUGAGAGGGUGAUCGGCCACACUGGAACUGAGACACGGUCCAGACUCCUACGGGAGGCAGCAGUAGGGAAUCUUCCGCAAUGGGCGAAAGCCUAACGGAGCAACGCCGCGUGAGUGACGAAGGUCUUCGGAUCGUAAAACUCUGUUAUUAGGGAAGAACAAAUGUGUAAGUAACUAUGCACGUCUUGACGGUACCUAAUCAGAAAGCCACGGCUAACUACGUG